UGUAAUGUUUUUAUUUUGAAGGCUUUG
Molecule: non-coding RNA, 27 nt
Filed under: Rattus norvegicus (Norway rat)
Lineage: Eukaryota; Metazoa; Chordata; Mammalia; Rodentia; Muridae
Source: RNAcentral